RNAcentral lists this ribosomal RNA (970 nucleotides) under uncultured bacterium. RNAcentral's name for it is "bacterial SSU rRNA". It matches the Rfam family "Bacterial small subunit ribosomal RNA", at positions 64 to 1040 of the family's 1533-position model. The record is from RNAcentral.
AGGGGAACGCAAUACUUCGGUAUUGUUAUUAUACUGGCGGACGGGUGAGUAACACGUAGGUUAUCUACCAUCGGGUUCGGGAUAGUCCGGGGAAACCCGGUUUAAUACCGGAUAAGGUCUAAGACUUUGGUCUAGAUGAAAGGUUAUUUGGUUGCCUGAUGAUGAGCCUGCGGCUAAUUAGUUAGUUGGUAGGGUAAUGGCCUACCAAGGCGAUGAUUAGUAGCUGGUCUGAGAGGAAUUUCAGCCACACUGGAACUGAGACACGGUCCAGACCCCUACGGGAGGCUGCAGUGAGGAAUCUUGCGCAAUGGGUGAGAGCCUGACGCAGCGACGCCGCGUGACUGAGGAAGCCCUAAGGGGUGUAAAGGUCUGUCGUUGGGGAAGAACCUGUUUGAUGUGGGAGCAUUAAGCACUGCCGGUACCCAACAAGCAAGCUCCGGCUAACUCCGUGCCAGCAGCCGCGGUAACACGGAGGGAGCAAGCGUUGUCCGGAAUUACUGGGUGUAAAGGGCACGCAGGCUUCUAUACAAGCCUUUGGUGAAAAGCCACUGCUUAACGGUGGAGUUGCCAGAGGAACUGUAUAGAUUGAGUAUAGAAUGGGAAUGCGGAACUCCUGGUGGAGAGGUGAAAUUCGUAGAUAUCAGGAGGAACACCAGUGGCGAAGGCGGCAUUCUGGUCUAUAACUGACGCUGAGGUGCGAAAGCGUGGGUAGCGAACGGGAUUAGAGACCCCGGUAGUCCACGCCGUAACUAUGGAUACUUGAUGUUUAGGGUUAGACCUAAGUAUCGAAGUUAACGCGAUAAGUAUCCCACCUGGGGAGUAAGUCGCAAGACCCAACUCAAAGGAUUGACGGGGGCCCGCACAGCGGUGGACAUGUGGUUUAUUCGAUGCACGCGAGACCUACUGACUGACUGUAGUGCGUGGUCGUGAAGCGACCGCUCUACUGCAUGGCCAGACACUAUCCAGUAUG